ACCAAUAACCCCACUAAACCAUGUCUCUCAACGCUAUAUCUAAAUGUUUCUUGGCUACCUUCUGCAAGUCAAGGGUCUCAUGGACUCUAUUCACCCAGUAGCCAGCUAAUGCACCCAGAUUCCCAAUCCGUCGUGAAGUUACGGAUAUUUCUUUAUGAUGCACAGAGCCGGCUGAGAGUUAACUCAAGUCUGACAAUCUUAAGGAGUUGCCAAGUUUCCCCACCCCUUGCCUUUGUUCAUACAUCUUUUUGCCUUGAAGCAAUUUUAAUAAAGACUAUGUAACAACAUGGUGUUGGCAUAGCAUGAGCAACAUUAUUCCAUCUGUUUCUAGGGAAAAUGUAAAAACAUGUGUUAGUAUAACACUGAGGUUCCAAUUUUCAACAGUUAAAAAUUCAGCAAUACUGAAGUUAAACUCUGUUUUUUAAAGCUACUUAGCAAUUUUCAUUGCCUUUGUUUUUUAGGAAGUCAAGUUCAGAUGCCUGAUCACCCACUCUUCAAAACUAAGGCUCUGUUAGCUGUUUUGAUUUGGGCAGCCAAAAUCCUUGCUUUCUGUUGAAAAUGUUGCGGAGCUGUUAUGUUAAAGAGUAUUCAGUUUCUCACUGAAUGUUUGGUAUUUGCAAACAUUCGUCUUAUCUUUUAUGAGAGUUAACCUUACAUUAGACAGAGAGUGAGAGCAUGUUAAUUUUAAUACUUUGCUAAUCCUAGAUUAGUAUUAAAAGAGAAGCAUGAAAAGGAAUAUUUAAUGGUUUUUGGAAUUAGGACCUUACCUCGUUUUUUACUUGUCUUCUUUUUCUCCUGUGAAUUAUAAUGGUACACCAGGCAGAGUUUUUACUGAGCAUCACAUUUUAAAUAGUGAUGAUAGAAUAUCCUGUCAGUGCAGUAGUGAUGAUUUGUGCCAAAAGUCUCAUUUUAAGAGUUAUGUUGGUGCAGUCAGGAAACAAAAUGAUGCAGCGUGUGUCUUCCUGGCAUUCACACCUAGUGAGAACAGCUUUCGCUGCCAGCGUGGCAAACUCAAAACAAUGUUCACGGGGAGAUAUUCAUUGACACAGAACAGCAUUACUGCAUAAGGUGUAGAGCAAAGGUGUGAUCCUGUACAAAUCAAGUGACCGAAGAGCAAGCAAGGAGAAAACAGGUAACUGAUGCUACAGACAAAGAAGAACACAUGAAAUAUGGUUGGAGACAUGAAAAUCAGAGGUAGCCUUCACUGCAGUGACCAUGAGAUGGUGGAAUAAAAGGUGGGAGAAAGGCAAAAAGCAGUACCACAACCCUGGAUUUCAUGAGAACAGACUUCAAUCUCUUUACGAAUCUGCUUGGAAGAAUCCUACGGGAUAUGGCCCUGGAGAGAAGAGGGAUUUGGGAGGGCUGGCUUCUCAAGGAAGGUCCAUCCCAAAAAGCAUAGUUGGCAGGAGGACUGUAUGGAGGAGCAAGGAGUGCCAAAAUGAGUUCAGACAUAUAAAGGAAGUAUGUGAGAUGGAAGCAGGGGCAAAUGACCUGGCAGCAGUGUAGAGAUGGGAUUUUGGAAAGACAAGGCUGACCUGGAGUUGAAUCUGGUGAGAGAUGUGAAGGCCAACAAGAAAAGAUUCUACAAGCAUGUAAACAGUAAAAAGAUGAUUAGGAGAAACAUGGGCUCAUUGCUGAACAGGACAGGGAAGCAAAUUAUGUGGAAAAGACCGUGGUACUCAGUGCCUUCCCUUCUUGGUCUUUACUGGUAAAAUCAGCCUCCUGGAAUCCCAGGCCACUGAGAAGAGAUGAAAAAAGUAAGUGAAAGAAGACUAGAUGGUGGUGGAAAUGGUCCAAGUUAGGGAGCACUUACAUUGGAUGUAUGUAUAUCUGUGGGUCCUGAUGGGUUGUGCUCAUGAGUGCUGAUGGUACUAAGUGAUGUCACUGCGAGGCCACUCUCCAUUAUCUUUGAACAGUCAUGGUAACUGGCAGAGAUUCCUGAGAAUGAAGCAGAGAAAAUAUCUUCAGGAAGGGCAAGAAUGAAAAUCUGAGGGACUGUCAGACAGUCAGCCUCAUCUCAGUGCCUGGGAAGGUGAUGGAGAAAAUUGUCCUGAGAAUUUGGCUAUUUCCAAAUAGACAAAGGACAAGAAUGUGAUCAGGAGUAGUCAGUAUGGAUUUAUGAAGGAACGAUAAUGCUCUACUGACCUGACAGCCAUGUGCAAUAAGAUGAAGAGGGCUGGACCACAUGAUCUCCCUUUCAACCUGAACAAUUCCGCAGCUCUGUGAUUUGCUGGUCUCCUGUUUAAAUAAUCAUCAGUUUACAGAACAGAUACCACACAACAGCUCACAUUUAUCAUUUUACACAUCAUAUAAAUGAUCACGGUAGAGAGCGCACUAUCAAGGUUACAGGCUGGAUUCCUGGAGCAGAUGAGUAGACCUUCAUGGCCAGACAACAGAACAAGCUGACAAAGUCUGUGUAGCCAACUCUGCAGUCAAAACCAAAGUGCUGGGACUCAGAAGGUCUCGCUUGUUAAUUUCACUUGCAGGCCUGAGGGAUAACGGCAGAUGACUCAUGGACCAGACACCAGUGACAACGCAUUACUCCGUCUGUUGGCCGAGUGCUACUGACUGAAAUCGCUGGCUCUACCUCAAUUUGCUGCAGCAAAGUGUCUUGUCUUGCUUGGAUUUGCUUGAGAAAUGACCUUUAUUGUUCUUAUCCACAUUCUCACCUUGUGCAAUCUCUAUGUGUAUGCUAAAGUCACCUCCCCUGCAAGGGUGAACAGAUUUAGGGAAGCUCAAAAUGGCACAGUUUCAUCAAAUAAGGAAAGAUGGUGAAAACCAAGGAAAUGAGCCGAAGUGACCCCUUGCUGGAUAAAUUGAACGUAGUGACAGAUUAGAGGCCCUGGUGGGCUCCCCUGCCUAGAACAAUAUACAGCUGAUGUGAACGAUGAAACGCACAAAUGCUUCUGUGCUAUGGAUUUUACUGGAGUUCAGAUGUUUCCUGCCUGUGACAAGUGAGGUGUGUGAUUUGCUCUCCUGCUUUUGCUUAACUGGCCAGCAAGUGAAUUCAGAGUGAGCAGGUCAGCUCGGGAGCAAGAAGGACCUAAAGAGAUCAAAAUAACAGUUAAAAAUGAUGGCCCUGUUCUUACAGGAGAGCUGACUAUGGCCAUGCUGAGCGCUCGUCAGGAUCAGACCCGCACAAAUCACCUCACAUUCAAAUUCCAGGUCUGAAAGCAGCUCUGGAAAGGCAAUGGCAAAUCAGUCUCUUCUGAGGAGGAUAACAACUGACAACAAAUGUAGACAGGAAACGGUAGCUGUUCAGAGCAUCCUGCAACAGGCUUCACCCUUGUUUUCUGCUUGCUUUCUGCCUCUUGAAGAAUAAACGAAGAUGUAUCUAGAGAAAUGAAGUUCCUAGAAAGAAGUUUAAAUUCCAGAUGGCUGAUACAACCCAGGCACCAGCUGUGAGGAGGUAACAAAGUCUGCUUUAAAAGAGAAAUCGGCAGUGCCAAGAUGCUAUUGCUGCACUUUGGGGUUUUGCUUCUGCUGCGCUCAUCUUGUUUUUAGGGCCACACAUGUCCAGGGUGAGUGUACAGCCCCUGGUAUAAGAAUUCCUCUCCUGAUUACCAUCAGAGAAUGUAGCAUGUACCGGAACAAAUACUCUUUUGUUAGAAUUGAAACCUUUGUCAAGCAAUACCAAGGAGCAACCAAAAGUCACCUGGGCACUGGAAAUGUUUUCUGUGAAGGCAGAAGCUCACAACUCUACAAGAGAAUCCACAGUGAUCUCUAGGAGGUGAGACGCUGCUUUAUCCAGGUUUCCCAUUCAUUUCGGAGACGUGCAGUCAUUGCUCUUUUAUAUGCACAAAACGCACUGAGCAUGGUGUACCGGGAUGUGAUGACCUCUGGGUUUAGCUGGUGGGGCAGGGGAGGAAUGUGCAGAAGAUAGGGGCUCUUUUUGUGCAUGGUGCUUACAUCCUGUGAAUGCGUUCCAGGUAGUGUGUGCCAGUAUCUGCUGACAUGGUUGAAGGUGAGUCCAACAUGUAAGCACACACUCCUAUGCAAUCAUGUCUGUGAUAGGGUCUCUUGUGUCUUUACUAAACACUGCUCAGCUGUGGGAAACCAGGUUCUCUCUGAGUUAUCAGAGUUGCUAAUAUUAGAUUGCUGCAAGACUGUUUCAUGCUAUCAAGUGAUCAAAGGCACAGGACAGACUCCAAAAGAGAGAAAGUGAAAUGGAUGGGACUGUGAGGCUCUCUUGCUGCUGUUAUUGUCACAAAAAUGUUCCUGUUUGAAAGAAUGCUCUUCCACUCUUUCCAGUUCAUCUUAGAAUGCCCCAAAAAAUUGAGUUUGUGAAGAAUCGUACAUCAGCUAGAGUAGAACGUGCCCUAUUAGUCCAUAAAAAGUUUUCUUUGUUGUUCCCUAGAUGGAAUGAUCAUUUCAGUGCCUUCAAAACAAAACUCUACCCUUCUGUUCUGACACAGUGCUGUUCUGUUAAGCAUAUAGAAUGUUUGGGGUUUAUUUUUGUUUGUUUGUUUGUUUGUUUGUUUUUAGGAUACUUAGAAGCAUUUGGAGUUCUAACCCUUCUACUUUGAAUUAAAUGUUUCAGGCUGAGCUGAAA
Numida meleagris (helmeted guineafowl) is the source of this 4552-nucleotide long non-coding RNA. RefSeq lists it as uncharacterized. The transcript has 6 exons. The record is from RefSeq and is a predicted model, not a curated record. Lineage: Eukaryota; Metazoa; Chordata; Aves; Galliformes; Numididae.